Molecule: long non-coding RNA, 1989 nt
Organism: Alosa sapidissima (American shad)
Lineage: Eukaryota; Metazoa; Chordata; Actinopteri; Clupeiformes; Clupeidae
Exons: 3
Source: RefSeq, a predicted model, not a curated record
CUUACAUAGUACGAUGCAUCGUGACACUGCGUCAGUGUUUCCCAAAACCAUAGUAGCAACUAACGUUCGCAACCACUAUCGUAAAGUUGUGUAGUUACAGCUACACCUCUCGACCUGUAGUAUGUAGUAAGAACCAUAGUAGACGACGUAACCCUGAUGACGGAACACGCAGAGGACAGAUGGAUGAGAGGUAGCCAUUAAACGAUCCCAUAACAUUGCUGUGGGAUACCAUACCAUAGCAUUGCUGGAAUCUACAAUUGCACAUUACUGUGGUACAGUGGAAAGUGAAGUGUUAUGGAGUUAGCCUACAACAGAGCGGCCUGUGGUGAAGUGCUAUGGUGACCGCAAUCAUCUGUGUUGUUAUUAUUCGUGAAUUUACAUGUAGCCUAAUGCUAAUGUGUCAGCACAGAUUCUUUCGAACACCCGUUAAGUUAAGUUAUCUGGUGAUAAAGCUUUUGAAUGCCAACGGUAUUGUUAUGUGAGGCUAGCAUUGUAAUUGUUAUAAAAGGAUAACGUUACAUUGUAGUCGUAUGUUAAGUGUGUUUGGAUGAAGCAUCUGCUAAUCAUACACAUAGCUAACGGUAUAUGGACUCUACAGCCCAUUAUGAUGUGGUGAAGUGACUGUGCUGUGGCAGAGACUGUAGCGUGUGUGCUUUACAUGAGAGAGGUCAGGGGUUCAAGACUGAGUCGAUGGGUGUGAGGUAUGGGUAGGCCUGUCAUGGGAGGCGGAAAAAUGGCCAGCAGGAAGGUGUGCAGCAGCCACUGGAAUGACCUCUUCCACCUCCUCCACUAACAGCUCCUCAUCAGCCGGCAGUGGGAUGUGAUCCUGAAGGGCCAUGUUGCAGAAGCGCCGCCACCAAAACUACACUGCACACCUUUGCAGGAUGGAGCUUCAGGCCACCAGCGGAUUUGCUCACACACCUUUCCACAUGCCCAAGGCCCUCUCCACAACAACGCAUUCCGGCUAUGGGCGUUGUUGUACCGCGCCUCUGCCUCGCUGUUGGGCUCCUAGAUGGAGCAGUUGACAUGCUUGUAUUAUCAUAGGGGGUUGAUGGAAUAAAGUAGGUCUUGAAAUGUCAGUGCACUCACAGGGAAUAUAGACAUGCAUUUGAAAACAACAGUAUAGACUUUGCUACUAUCUCAGCAGCAGAAGGCAACAACAUGAGCAGCACCUACAGUAACACUGUGUGUGUGUGUGUGUGUGUGUGUAUGUUGGUACAGCUGGCGCAGAUCCUUCAACCAUUUGAGCAUUGAAACAUUUGUGCUAUGUGAACUGUGAUUUUGUGGUUGUGAUUCAACACACAACUUCAUAACUACAAUGGAUGAAAAGUAAUGGUAAAAAAACUGUAUCUGUGCAUUUAAAAUAUCAUGAAAUACUUGUGUGUGGUAACAGUAUUCAGUUUUCAGUGUCACAGUGAAAACACAUAACAAGGGCAACAUUGGGCAAAUGCUGCAUAAAGGCAUGAAAAUAUUCCAGUGAAAUGAAGGGCAAUGAUAAAGUAAAGUAUUCAUUUAUAUAGCGCUUUUAGAACAGAGUGAAACCCAAAGCACUUACACAACAACAUGUUGUUCAACAUUGUUCAUAUUACAUAUCCAUAUUUAUUCUGCUCUUACUGUAAGGUAAGUGCUAAGAUACUGCACAUAUUUAUAUUUCAUUUAUAUUACUCUAAACCACCUUCUGCAAACCAACUGUAUACUACUGUAUAGUACUGUAUACUAUGUUGAAUCUAAUCUAACCAUGCCAAUUUUCAUAGAACAUAAUAUACAUGUAUCCUAAGCCUAGGCUAGUAAGCAUAUGGUCUCCAAUCAGUAGUUAAAACUAGGACUACAGGUUCUAAACGAUCAUAGGAAUAUUUAGUGAUUGAGCCUAUCCAAGAUUCCAACACCAUUGUUAAUUGAUCAUUAUCCAAGCCCGAACCUACGACUACAAGAUCCGAAAUGCAGAGGUCUAUCCUUCCACGCCACCUUGUCACGCUACAACAAAUGAAA